Molecule: transfer RNA, 73 nt
Filed under: Streptomyces sp. NRRL F-6602
Lineage: Bacteria; Bacillati; Actinomycetota; Actinomycetes; Kitasatosporales; Streptomycetaceae
Description: tRNA-Lys
Rfam family: tRNA
About the family: Transfer RNA (tRNA) molecules are approximately 80 nucleotides in length. Their secondary structure includes four short double-helical elements and three loops (D, anti-codon, and T loops). Further hydrogen bonds mediate the characteristic L-shaped molecular structure. tRNAs have two regions of fundamental functional importance: the anti-codon, which is responsible for specific mRNA codon recognition, and the 3' end, to which the tRNAs corresponding amino acid is attached (by aminoacyl-tRNA synthetases). tRNAs cope with the degeneracy of the genetic code in two manners: having more than one tRNA (with a specific anti-codon) for a particular amino acid; and 'wobble' base-pairing, i.e. permitting non-standard base-pairing at the 3rd anti-codon position.
Source: RNAcentral
GGAUCAGUAGCUCAGUUGGUAGAGCGUCGGCCUUUUAAUCCGAAUGUCACAGGUUCGAGCCCUGUCUGAUCCA